UCGGGAAUUUUGCUCAAUGGGCGAAAGCCUGAAGCAGCAACGCCGCGUGAGGGAUGAAGGCCUUCGGGUUGUAAACCUCUUUUCUCAGGGACGAUGAUGACGGUACCUGAGGAAUAAGCCACGGCUAACUACGUGCCAGCAGCCGCGGUAAUACGUAGGUGGCAAGCGUUGUCCGGAAUUACUGGGCGUAAAGAGCGCGCAGGCGGCCGAGUAAGUCGAAUGUGAAAGCCCCCGGCUCAACUGGGGAACGUCAUUCGAUACUGUUCGGCUAGAAGGUAGGAGAGGGAAGCGGAAUUUCAGGUGUAGUGGUGAAAUGCGUAGAUAUCUGAAGGAACACCAGUGGCGAAGGCGGCUUUCUGGCCUAUUCUUGACGCUGAGGCGCGAAAGCUAGGGGAGCGAACGGGAUUAGAUACCCCGGUAGUCCUAGCCGUAAACGAUGAACACUAGAUGUUGGUGGUAUCAACCCGCAGUGUCGUAGCUAACGC
Molecule: ribosomal RNA, 485 nt
Filed under: uncultured bacterium
Lineage: Bacteria
Description: bacterial SSU rRNA
Rfam family: Bacterial small subunit ribosomal RNA
Source: RNAcentral